GAUGAAGAACGUAGCGAAAUGCGAUACUUGGUGUGAAUUGCAGAAUCCCGUGAACCAUCGAGUCUUUGAACGCAAGUUGCGCCCGAAGCCAUUAGGCCGAGGGCACGCCUGCCUGGGCGUCACACGUCGUUGCCCCCCCAUCUACUCCUUCGGGAUUGCGGGGGGCGGAUGAUGGCCUCCCGUGCGCCUCGUCGCGCGGUUGGCAUAAAUGCCAAGUCCUCGGCGACGCACGCCACGACAAUCAGUGGUUGCGAAACCUCGGUUGCCCGUCGUGUGCGGUCGUCGCGCAUCGAGGGCUCGAAAAAAUUGCCGGGCUCCGGCUCGGCUUUCAACGCGACCCCAGGUCAGGCGGGGUUACCCGCUGAAUUUAAGCAUAUCAAUAAGCGGAGGA
RNAcentral lists this unclassified non-coding RNA (391 nucleotides) under soil metagenome. RNAcentral describes it as "partial contains 5.8S ribosomal RNA, internal transcribed spacer 2, and large subunit ribosomal RNA". The stretch from base 1 to 122 matches the Rfam family "5.8S ribosomal RNA", at positions 35 to 154 of the family's 154-position model. The record is from RNAcentral.